RNAcentral lists this unclassified non-coding RNA (352 nucleotides) under Hevea brasiliensis (rubber tree). The record is from RNAcentral. Lineage: Eukaryota; Viridiplantae; Streptophyta; Magnoliopsida; Malpighiales; Euphorbiaceae.
ACGUCUGAAAUGAAAUCAGCAAAUUUGUCAGAAACUAACUGCAGAAACUUUCCAACGGAUUUGUGAUCUUUAAUGUUUCUGUUCAUAGUAAGAAGACCCAAUAGGCUUUCACUUAUCUGCCAUACAACUAAAUAUGAUGUUGCCAUCCUCUCAUUUUAUAGACUAUUGGCGAUACAAGCAACUUAGAAUUUCUGCUUAAUGAAAUUCUACAUAUAUUGGAGUUGAACUAACCAUUUUCUAUGUUUUGUUUCUUUUAGCUCAGCUGACAACUGAAAUUUCAUAAAUUUGUUGCAUUAUCCAGCUAGAUAGUAACAGAAGUCCACUAAAAUUCCAUGAGGUAAUUAGGCAUGCA